CCUACGGGUGGCAGCAGUGAGGAAUAUUGGUCAAUGGGCGCGAGCCUGAACCAGCCAAGUCGCGUGAGGGAAGACGGUCCUAUGGAUUGUAAACCUCUUUUGUCGGGGAGCAAAAGACGCCACGUGUGGCGUUCCGAGAGUACCCGAAGAAAAAGCAUCGGCUAACUCCGUGCCAGCAGCCGCGGUAAUACGGAGGAUGCGAGCGUUAUCCGGAUUUAUUGGGUUUAAAGGGUGCGCAGGCGGAAGAUCAAUUCAGCGGUAAAAUUGAGGGGCUCAACCUGUUCGAGCCGGUGAAACUGGUUUGCUUGAGUGAGCGAGAAGUAUGCGGAAUGCGUGGGGGAGCGGUGAAAUGCAUAGAUAUCACGCAGAACUCCGAUUGCGAAGGCAGCAUACCGGCGCUCAACUGACGCUCAUGCACGAAAGUGUGGGUAUCGAACAGGAUUAGAUACCCGUGUAGUC
RNAcentral lists this ribosomal RNA (459 nucleotides) under uncultured bacterium. RNAcentral's name for it is "partial 16S ribosomal RNA". It matches the Rfam family "Bacterial small subunit ribosomal RNA", at positions 338 to 795 of the family's 1533-position model. The record is from RNAcentral.